AGAGUUUGAUCAUGGCUCAGGACGAACGCUGGCGGCACGCUUAACACAUGCAAGUCGAACGAGAGAAGAGGAGCUUGCUUUUCUGAUCUAGUGGCGGACGGGUGAGUAGCACGUGAGCAAUCUGCCUUUCAGAGGGGGAUACCGAUUGGAAACGAUCGUUAAUACCGCAUAACAUAAUUGAACCGCAUGAUUUGAUUAUCAAAGAUUUAUCGCUGAAAGAUGAGCUCGCGUCUGAUUAGCUAGUUGGUAAGGUAACGGCUUACCAAGGCGACGAUCAGUAGCCGGACUGAGAGGUUGAUCGGCCACAUUGGGACUGAGACACGGCCCAGACUCCUACGGGAGGCAGCAGUGGGGAAUAUUGCACAAUGGAGGAAACUCUGAUGCAGCGAUGCCGCGUGAGGGAAGAAGGUUUUAGGAUUGUAAACCUCUGUCUUCAGGGACGAAAAAAGACGGUACCUGAGGAGGAAGCUCCGGCUAACUACGUGCCAGCAGCCGCGGUAAUACGUAGGGAGCGAGCGUUGUCCGGAAUUACUGGGUGUAAAGGGAGCGUAGGCGGGAUCGCAAGUCAGAUGUGAAAACUAUGGGCUUAACCCAUAAACUGCAUUUGAAACUGUGGUUCUUGAGUGAAGUAGAGGUAAGCGGAAUUCCUAGUGUAGCGGUGAAAUGCGUAGAUAUUAGGAGGAACAUCAGUGGCGAAGGCGGCUUACUGGGCUUUAACUGACGCUGAGGCUCGAAAGCGUGGGGAGCAAACAGGAUUAGAUACCCUGGUAGUCCACGCCGUAAACGAUGAUUACUAGGUGUGGGGGGACUGACCCCUUCCGUGCCGCAGCAAACGCAAUAAGUAAUCCACCUGGGGAGUACGACCGCAAGGUUGAAACUCAAAGGAAUUGACGGGGGCCCGCACAAGCAGUGGAGUAUGUGGAUUAAUUCGAAGCAACGCGAAGAACCUUACCAGGUCUUGACAUCGUAUGCAUAGCUCAGAGAUGAGUGAGAUCUCUUCGGAGACAUAUAGACAGGUGGUGCAUGGUUGUCGUCAGCUCGUGUCGUGAGAUGUUGGGUUAAGUCCCGCAACGAGCGCAACCCUUACUGUUAGUUGCUACGCAAGAGCACUCUAGCAGGACUGCCGUUGACAGAACGGAGGAAGGUGGGGAUGACGUCAAAUCAUCAUGCCCCUUAUGACCUGGGCCUCACACGUACUACAAUGGCUGUCAACAGAGGGAAGCAAAGCCGCGAGGUGGAGCGAACCCCUAAAAGCAGUCUUAGUUCGGAUUGUAGGCUGCAACCCGCCUACAUGAAGUCGGAAUUGCUAGUAAUCGCAGAUCAGCAUGCUGCGGUGAAUACGUUCCCGGGCCUUGUACACACCGCCCGUCACGCCAUGGGAGUCGGUAACACCCGAAGCCUGUAGUCUAACCGCAAGGAGGACGCAGUCGAAGGUGGGAUUGAUGACUGGGGUGAAGUCGUAACAAGGUA
This 1470-nucleotide ribosomal RNA is filed under the name metagenome. RNAcentral's name for it is "bacterial SSU rRNA". It matches the Rfam family "Bacterial small subunit ribosomal RNA". The record is from RNAcentral.